UAGAGUUUGAUCCUGGCUCAGGAUGAACGCUAGCUACAGGCUUAACACAUGCAAGUCGAGGGGCAGCAUGGUCUUAGCUUGCUAAGGCCGAUGGCGACCGGCGCACGGGUGAGUAACACGUAUCCAACCUGCCUUAUACUCCCGGACAGCCUUCUGAAAGGAAGAUUAAUACGGGAUGGCAUCACGAGCCAGCAUUUUCUCGUGAUUAAAGAAUUUCGGUAUAAGAUGGGGAUGCGUUCCAUUAGAUAGUAGGCGGGGUAACGGCCCACCUAGUCGACGAUGGAUAGGGGUUCUGAGAGGGAGGUCCCCCACAUUGGAACUGAGACACGGUCCAAACUCCUACGGGAGGCAGCAGUGAGGAAUAUUGGUCAAUGGGCGCGAGCCUGAACCAGCCAAGUAGCGUGCAGGAUGACGGCCCUAUGGGUUGUAAACUGCUUUUAUAAGGGAAUAAAGUGUGCCACGUGUGGUGCUUUGCAUGUACCUUAUGAAUAAGCAUCGGCUAACUCCGUGCCAGCAGCCGCGGUAAUACGGAGGAUGCGAGCGUUAUCCGGAUUUAUUGGGUUUAAAGGGAGCGUAGACGGAUGAUUAAGUCAGCUGUGAAAAUCUGCGGCUCAACCGUAGUCGUGCAGUUGAUACUGGUCACCUUGAGUGCGUUUGAGGCAGGCGGAAUUCGUGGUGUAGCGGUGAAAUGCUUAGAUAUCACGAAGAACUCCGAUUGCGAAGGCAGCUGACUGUAUCGUAACUGACGCUGAAGCUCGAAAGUGUGGGUAUCGAACAGGAUUAGAUACCCUGGUAGUCCACACGGUAAACGAUGGAUGCUCCCCUGUUGGCCCUUUGGUCAGUGGGUUAGGGGAAACCCGUUAAGCAUCCUCCCUGGGGAGUACGCCGGCAGCGGUGAAACUCAAAGGAAUUGACGGGGGCCCGCACAAGCGGAGGAACAUGUGGUUUAAUUCGAUGAUACGCGAGGAACCUUACCCGGGCUUGAACUGCCGGCGAACGAUUCGGAGAUGAUGAGGCCCUUCGGGGCGCCGGUGGAGGUGCUGCAUGGUUGUCGUCAGCUCGUGCCGUGAGGUGUCGGCUUAAGUGCCAUAACGAGCGCAACCCCCGUCAGUAGUUGCCAUCGGGUAAUGCCGGGCACUCUGCUGAUACUGCCACCGCAAGGUGUGAGGAAGGUGGGGAUGACGUCAAAUCAGCACGGCCCUUACGUCCGGGGCUACACACGUGUUACAAUGGGGCGUACAGCGAGUUGGCCGCUGGCAACAUCGGUCUAAUCCAUAAAAGUGUCCCUCAGUUCGGACUGGGGUCUGCAACCCGACCCCACGAAGCUGGAUUCGCUAGUAAUCGCGCAUCAGCCAUGGCGCGGUGAAUACGUUCCCGGGCCUUGCACACACCGCCCGUCA
This 1400-nucleotide ribosomal RNA is filed under the name uncultured bacterium. RNAcentral describes it as "16S ribosomal RNA". It matches the Rfam family "Bacterial small subunit ribosomal RNA". The record is from RNAcentral.